Long non-coding RNA from Planococcus citri (citrus mealybug), 1365 nucleotides. RefSeq lists it as uncharacterized. NCBI's taxonomy places the organism in Eukaryota, Metazoa, Arthropoda, Insecta, Hemiptera, Pseudococcidae. The transcript has 2 exons. The record is from RefSeq and is a predicted model, not a curated record.
CGUGAGACGAUUCCCGGAACUUCCUGUAAGUACCAGUACCAGACCAGUAAGUACUCUUAUUUAUUAUUCUGAAUAGCAGGCGCCAGGUUACCAGGUAAUUAAACUCGUGCAUUACACCUUACAUUGAAAUUGAAUUGACGUAUAGAAAAGACGAAGAUGACAAAAAGGCAACGUUGCUGAGAAUCCUCGUCACCCUUCGACUGCAGGAACUCCAGAAAUACCACCACUGCGGGGUGGGAGAAGUACCUGGCUCCUGGCACAAUACCAGUUUGUUUCUUACAUUCUUACUCGACGUCUAGCUAGUUACCGUUUUGUUGUUGGUAGUGAAAACCGUUGAAUGAUGAUGAAGAAGCAUUGUGCACGUGUAUAGUAGUUUACUAGUUUAGUACAUCUGUUUUGUUGUGGUAGCUGGUCUUUGUGUGUUGCUGUUCUUCGGAUCAUUCAAAUUAUUGGUUCGAAUUGAAAUUGAUCAAAAUCAAGGAUUACAGCCAUGGUUCGAACGAUCUCUUAUGAAUUUGCCCAUGAUCCUUCUCAUGCGAGCCCACCAUCGAUGCAAGAACUUUCGGCGAUCGCUAUUGGUAUAGAUACGUGGCGCAGCAAACAAACCAAACUUACCGGUCGUAAAUCAAAAAGAUAUCAACCAUAUCGUAAACGCAAAUCAGUGAAACGUUCGCUUUCGAAAAAUCCACGUGUAAUCGACGAUAUAAUCAAACAAUACAGCAAAGUAUUCGAGGAAUCGAUGAAAUCGUGGCUAAGAAACCAUUUCAAAAAAGUAUUCAAGUUACGUUACCAUCGUCAGAAUGAUAUUUUGAACGACUUCAGUGAUUUCGUUAUCGAUCAUACGGGUGCUAUUCAUGAUAGUGAAACAGCCAAACGUAUGGUGCAUUGUGAUCGAUUAAGUGCAGAUGUGAGAUUCGUGAUCGCUUGUUUGUAUUCUUUCGAAGAUGAUAUUAAACGAAUUCGGCCAUCUAUCAGUGGGGAGAGGGACUUCAGUAAGAUUGAUAAUUAUGUUCAGCUGCUGGUGAAAGUCUGGAUUAUGCGUCUUAGUGUUAAUGAUCUUGAGGACACUAUGACUCGUAUCAAUGAUCAUAUCAGAACCGUUCGACAGACUAUCGAUACCACCACCUCAAAUCUUUUAGAUAUGUUGAACCAUUAACCAAUGAGUUAUUUUUAAAUCGUUCUUUGUACUUUUGUGACUGAUACGAGCUUAUACAUUAUGUACUUAUGUGAUUUUGUUUAUUUAGUAUGAUUACGAAGUUGUGUUGUAUUCCAUAAAUUAUGUAGCUUAAUUCCUAUUUACUCUUAUCAAGUUUUGUUAUGUCAAUGGUACCUGCAGUGCCUAAUAAGUAAAUGAUUUCAAUUCAU